GGGCCCGUCUCAGCAAGGUAGAGCGGCAGGCUCUUAACCUGUUGGAUGUCUCCUUGAGCGUCCGGGGAGUGGUCAGGGGUUCGAUUCCCCUCGGGCCCG
Molecule: transfer RNA, 99 nt
Filed under: Candidatus Bathyarchaeota archaeon
Lineage: Archaea; Thermoproteati; Candidatus Bathyarchaeota
Description: tRNA-Lys
Rfam family: tRNA
About the family: Transfer RNA (tRNA) molecules are approximately 80 nucleotides in length. Their secondary structure includes four short double-helical elements and three loops (D, anti-codon, and T loops).
Source: RNAcentral